AUAUUUUUUCCUUUGUGACAAUCAACUACUUCCCCCACAGCUGAAGAUAUACCUGCUAAUAUGGAAAUCUAAAUAUGUUUAGUAAGAGCAAAUUGAAUUUAAGUACAAUCACGACGAAGAACACAUAUAUACAUGCAUAUAUUUAUGUCUACAAAUAGUGUAUAUGUAGAUGUGUCUUUUGUUCGAAUAGAUCUUUUUCGGUUUCUAACCUUUCCCAGCAAUGCAUGGUGCCUCAACUAUCGUCAGAGUUUUUUCUGUAUGCAGCUCAAACCCAGCAGCUUGUUUGGUAUAUUCAAGCAGCACAGUCGAACCCUUUUUUAAUUCAAGUUUUUUUGAUCGCCGGCGUGUUAAAAGCAAUUCUUUUUUAUCAACUGAUAACUGCUUGUAUAGAUCACGUCUCCUACGGUUAAUUUUAGAGACGAUUAGUGUUGAGCACUGUUGCUUCCUUUUCUGCACACAACAAGCUGACGGUAAAUGCUUUUUAACAGUUGACAUUUGCAGUUCAAGUAAUCUAUAAAACUUUAACAUCAAAUCUGCAGUAACAACGAUUUUUAUAUAUGAAAUGUUCUACAAACAGAUACAGAGAGUUACAGUUCAAAGUGUGUAUUUGUUAUUCUAGGCAAAUAAGAUGGUGACCAAUACAAAGAAUUCAAUAGUGGUAACGCUGGAAAGCAAACGAAUUAAUACUAUAAUUGUUUCUUAUUAUAGAAUUAGUUUUUGUAUAUGGCAGAAACUUUGAACAUUGACUAUGGUUUUAGUGUACAAUAGAAAGAAGAGCACAACGAUAGACGAAGCUUCUAAAUAUUUAUUGGUAACUUAUAAAAAAAUAGUCAAAUUACUAAACGUGUUAAAGCUGUUACACCACUGGAAGAAAUACAAACUAUUGUCAAAUUUCAAAUAGUUUUAAGUUGAUUAGAGGAAAUUAUUGAAAACAUGAAAAAGAAUCUCUGUUGUAGCUGCACUAUUAGUUGCCUCAAGAGAAUGAAAAGAAGAAACUUCAUUCUUUCUCAUUUUCUUUUGUAGACCUUUCAACUGCUAACUCAGGAAUUAACUUUUAACAAUUAUUUCACUGCCUUGGAAAAUUUGGAUUCUCAAGAUACAUAUAUUUGGGGCACAGAGCACAGAGCAAUGGUAAACUAAUAUAACCAAUAUUUUGUCAAAUACAGCCUUUGAAAAUACAAGUUCCAAAAUAGAUAUAGGUCUAUCCCUCCAAAUCUUCAUUACAAACAUACACAAGAUCAUUAGUUUAUCAUUCCAAACUAAAUCCAAAUAAAAAAUUAGAAACCACAAUCUCGAAAAUAAAUCAUGAAUCAACAAAACAAAUUUUAUCAUUAGGGAAAAGUAGAUUUUUUUUACCUUAGAUUCAUUUUUGGACUCGUUGGCAGUAGCUUCAGUAUUUCUUGCCAUAGGAAAGUUGUACCUUUAGAUGUGCAAGAAAAGGGAACACAUUAGAGAAGCCCAAAAAAAACCUAUUUUAAAAAACCUCAUUGUUAUGCAUCACAAGUUUAUCAAUGGAAAUAUCUUGUAAUAGGGGGAGAGAUCAGUACAAAUUCGAAGUUAAUUAGAUCAGAUAGCAUUCAUGCCAAAAGGAAAUAGGGUUCUUUAAGAGAAGUAUACGAAAAGUAGUGUGUGUAUUAUACCAAAAAUGCAAUAUUUUGUAUUAUGCGAUUUCAAAUGCGAUCGAAGAAAAAUUUAAGCAAAAGAGAUGCCAUUUAAUCUAGAUGAUGUUAUCUUCUUCCCAGAUAGUGAGAAUUAAGUGUCCCUCUAAUGAAACAAAAAACUCUAUGGUUUCCCGAAAAAGAUUUUAAUCUAGUGUGAUUUAGUGCCAACAAUAAGUAAAAUUUGUAGGCAAAAGUGCUUGAACAAAUUAAGAGGGACAGCAACUUGCACUUGCUCAAGAUAAGGCAAUAUGAUGGUUCAUAAGAACUUUAAAAUCAUUUUAAGCAGCUACUGCCAAAUGCUGCAAAGAAUUACUGUGAACUAAUAAAUCAAAUAAACCAAACAGUGAAACAGAGCUGUUACAAGGUCAAAAUGCAGAAAAUACAAACUAUUGCAUUUUUUAAAA
Molecule: long non-coding RNA, 2065 nt
Filed under: Nicotiana tabacum (common tobacco)
Lineage: Eukaryota; Viridiplantae; Streptophyta; Magnoliopsida; Solanales; Solanaceae
Description: long non-coding RNA (NTAB_LNC001849)
Source: RNAcentral